CAAGAUUAAAACUCAAAUGAAUUGACGGGGGCCCGCACAAGCGGUGGAGCAUGUGGUUUAAUUCGAUGCAACGCGAAGAACCUUACCUACUCUUGACAUCUACAGAAGCCAGCGGAGACGCAGGUGUGCCUUCGGGAACUGUAAGACAGGUGCUGCAUGGCUGUCGUCAGCUCGUGUUGUGAAAUGUUGGGUUAAGUCCCGCAACGAGCGCAACCCUUAUCCUUGUUUGCCAGCACUUCGGGUGGGAACUCCAGGGAGACUGCCGGUGAUAAACCGGAGGAAGGUGGGGACGACGUCAAGUCAUCAUGGCCCUUACGAGUAGGGCUACACACGUGCUACAAUGGCGCAUACAGAGGGCGGCCAACUUGCGAAAGUGAGCGAAUCCCAAAAAGUGCGUCGUAGUCCGGAUUGGAGUCUGCAACUCGACUCCAUGAAGUCGGAAUCGCUAGUAAUCGUGGAUCAGAAUGCCACGGUGAAUACGUUCCCGGGCCUUGUACACACCGCCCGUCACACCAUGGGAGUGGGCUGCAAAAGAAGUGGGUAGUUUAACCUUCGGGAGGACGCUCACCACUUUGUGGUUCAUGACUGGGGUGAAGUGGUAACAAGGUAACCG
This 613-nucleotide ribosomal RNA is filed under the name uncultured bacterium. RNAcentral's name for it is "bacterial SSU rRNA". It matches the Rfam family "Bacterial small subunit ribosomal RNA", at positions 889 to 1502 of the family's 1533-position model. The record is from RNAcentral.